This 407-nucleotide long non-coding RNA is filed under the name Salmo salar (Atlantic salmon). Its description in RNAcentral is "lncRNA (ENSSSAG00000090878.1)". Lineage: Eukaryota; Metazoa; Chordata; Actinopteri; Salmoniformes; Salmonidae. The record is from RNAcentral.
CCCCAUACGGUACAGUACAGUCCCUAUACGGUACAGUCCCCAUACAGUACAGUACAGUCCCCAUACAGUACAGUACAGUCCCCAUACGGUACAGUCCCCAUACGGUACAACCCCCUCUGUCAGUGAUAUUACUAUAACAUACAGAUAGGUUACUAGCUACCCUCUGUCAGGGAUAUUACUAUAACAUACAGAUAGGUUACUAGCUACCCUCUGUAACAGAUAUUACUAUAACAUACAGAUAGGUUACUAGCUACCCUCUGUCAGGGAUAUUACUAUAACAUACAGAUAGGCUACUAGCUACCCUCUGUCAGGGAUAUUACUAUAACAUACAGAUAGGUUACUAGCUACCCUCUGUAAGAGAUAUUACUAUAACAUACAGAUAGGUUACUAGCUACCCUCUGUAACAG